This 690-nucleotide ribosomal RNA is filed under the name Corynebacterium diphtheriae. RNAcentral describes it as "bacterial LSU rRNA". It matches the Rfam family "Bacterial large subunit ribosomal RNA", at positions 1552 to 2223 of the family's 2925-position model. Lineage: Bacteria; Bacillati; Actinomycetota; Actinomycetes; Mycobacteriales; Corynebacteriaceae. The record is from RNAcentral.
GUGGGUGAGGCGUGAUGCGUAGACCUUUGUGGUUGAUGUUGGUGAUCCUGUACUGUCGAGAAAAGCCUCUAGCGAGUGCAUAUAUGGCCCGUACCCAUAACCGACACAGGUGGUCAGGUAGAGAAUACUAAGGCGAUCGGGUGAACUGUGGUUAAGGAACUCGGCAAAUUGCCCCCGUAACUUCGGGAGAAGGGGGACCAUUGCUGGUGACCGACGUGGUUGAGCUGGUGGUGGUCGCAGAGAAUAGAGGGAAGCGACUGUUUAUUAAAAACACAGGUCCGUGCGAAAACGUGGAAGUUGAUGUAUACGGACUGACGCCUGCCCGGUGCUGGAAGGUUAAGAGGACCUGUUAGGGCAUUUUUUGUCCGAAGCGGAGAAUUUAAGCCCCAGUAAACGGCGGUGGUAACUAUAACCAUCCUAAGGUAGCGAAAUUCCUUGUCGGGUAAGUUCCGACCUGCACGAAUGGCGUAACGACUUCCCUGCUGUCUCAACCACAGGCCCGGUGAAAUUGCAGUACGAGUAAAGAUGCUCGUUACGCGCGGCAGGACGAAAAGACCCCGGGACCUUCACUAUAGCUUGGUAUUGGUGUUUGGUUCGGUUUGUGUAGGAUAGGUGGGAGACUGUGAAGUGGUCACGCUAGUGGUUGUGGAGUCGAAAGUUGAAAUACCACUCUGAUCGGAUUGAGCACCU